Molecule: ribosomal RNA, 465 nt
Filed under: uncultured bacterium
Lineage: Bacteria
Description: partial 16S ribosomal RNA
Rfam family: Bacterial small subunit ribosomal RNA
Source: RNAcentral
CCUACGGGAGGCAGCAGUAGGGAAUUUUCGUCAAUGGGCGCAAGCCUGAACGAGCGAUGCCGCGUGAGUGAAGAAGGCCUUCGGGUCGUAAAGCUCUGUUGCGGGGGAAAAAAGGCAGCAUCAGGAAAUGGGUGUUGACUGAUGGUGCCCCGCCAGAAAGUCACGGCUCACUACGUGCCAGCAGCCGCGGUAAUACGUAGGUGGCGAGCGUUAUCCGGAAUGAUUGGGCGUAAAGGGUGCGCAGGCGGUCCUGCAAGUCUGGAGUGAAACGCAUGGGCUCAACUCAUGCAUGGCAUUGGAAACUGGAGGACUAGAGAGCAGGAGAGGGCGGUGGAACUCCAUGUGUAGCGGUAAAAUGCGUAGAUAUAUGGAAGAACACCAGUGGCGAAGGCGGCCGCCUGGACUGUUGCUGACGCUGAGGCACGAAAGCGUGGGGAGCAAAUAGGAUUAGAUACCCCUGUAGUC